GAACGCUGGCGGCGUGCCUAAUACAUGCAAGUCGAGCGAACAGAUAAGGAGCUUGCUCCUUUGACGUUAGUGGCGGACGGGUGAGUAACACGUGGGUAACCUACCUAUAAGACUGGAAUAACUCCGGGAAACCGGGGCUAAUGCCGGAUAACAUUUAGAACCGCAUGGUUCUAAAGUGAAAGAUGGUUUUGCUAUCACUUAUAGAUGGACCCGCGCCGUAUUAGCUAGUUGGUAAGGUAACGGCUUACCAAGGCAACGAUACGUAGCCGACCUGAGAGGGUGAUCGGCCACACUGGAACUGAGACACGGUCCAGACUCCUACGGGAGGCAGCAGUAGGGAAUCUUCCGCAAUGGGCGAAAGCCUGACGGAGCAACGCCGCGUGAGUGAUGAAGGUCUUCGGAUCGUAAAACUCUGUUAUUAGGGAAGAACAAAUGUGUAAGUAACUGUGCACGUCUUGACGGUACCUAAUCAGAAAGCCACGGCUAACUACGUG
RNAcentral lists this ribosomal RNA (494 nucleotides) under uncultured bacterium. RNAcentral's name for it is "partial 16S ribosomal RNA". It matches the Rfam family "Bacterial small subunit ribosomal RNA", at positions 31 to 507 of the family's 1533-position model. The record is from RNAcentral.